RNAcentral lists this ribosomal RNA (370 nucleotides) under Cliomantis cornuta. RNAcentral's name for it is "partial 12S ribosomal RNA". Lineage: Eukaryota; Metazoa; Arthropoda; Insecta; Mantodea; Amorphoscelidae. The record is from RNAcentral.
AUACCCUAUUAUUUUUAAUGUAAAUUUUUAAGCUAAGGUAGUAUUAGUUAAUAGUCUUGAAACCUAAAGAAUUUGGCGGUAUUAUAGUCUAUUUAGAGGAAUCUGUUGUGUAAUCGAUAAUCCACGUUGGACCUUACUUAUAUUAAUUCUUGUAUAUCGCUGUUUAGUGAAUAUAUUUUUAGGUUAUUUUCUAAAUAAAUAAAUAUUUAGUAUUUCAAGUCAAGGUGCAGUAAUAUAUAAGUAUUAAUGGAUUACAAUAAAUUUUAUUUAUACGAAUAAUCUUUGAAAUAUUGAUUUGAAGGUGGAUUUAGUUGUAAUUUAGAAAAGAUUAUUUAAAUGAUAUUAGCUCUAUAAUAUGUACACAUCGCCC